RNAcentral lists this unclassified non-coding RNA (1213 nucleotides) under Athalia rosae (coleseed sawfly). RNAcentral's name for it is "misc RNA ENSAEAG00005006708.1". The record is from RNAcentral. Lineage: Eukaryota; Metazoa; Arthropoda; Insecta; Hymenoptera; Athaliidae.
UGACUAUUGAGCAAUAAAAAGUUAAAAUGAAUGGCUUGAACAAAUGCUGAUAGAUUUGAAAAAUCUUAACUGUGUAUUUUUGUUUUUCUUUCUUACUACACAGGAAUAUAGGCAAGUCUGAUGAAGUUUUAGAAAUAUUUACAACUGUACCAAAUUAUGUAGAGAAAUGCGUCAUGGAAGGGUGUGGAAGUUGGGAUCAUGAGACGACUUAUGACAGAGGCGGAUAAAAGUUGAACAUAUAGAGAAACAAGCUAGAGAUGAUUCAUCUGAAGUACCAAUGUUUGGAAGACCAAGUGAGUACAACGUUUUUCUCACUGGUUCCAAUUCUAAACAUGGAAAUGACUUCAAUGCCCAAGAUACAAUACCCUCAUUCUCGCCAACUGUUACCGUACAAGUACUGUACACUAAAACUCCACCUGGCUUUAGUAGAUCGACAGCCUGUUGAAAGAUGUUCAUUUAUUAUGGAGCUUUGUGUAUUAUUAUCAAACUGAGCAACGAAUAUAUGUUUCAAGGUUUGAACAAUUUUGGUAAAUUGGUAUCAAAUUAAUGCAAGCGUAUAAAUAUAUAUUUUGGAGUAUCAUCAAUUUUGGCUUUGGUAUUGAAAGUUCAAUUUUUUUUUUUUUUUAAUUUACUAACCACAGAGAAUAGCUUUCUUUGCAAAGGUACGUAAGAGUUAAGUUGAGCCACGGUGAUUGGGUUAAUAAGCUGUGGUCUCUGCCCCAGAGCACUGCAGGGAACAUCCAGUAAAAUACGAUCAAAAGAUUCCUGGGUAUAUGGUGGUCCAGUAGAUAAUAAUUUUUCAUUUGUCUUGCCCAGUGCUUUUGUCGAAUCAAAACAGAAAAUCUGGAUAUUCAGAGCAGAAAAUGCUGCACAUUGAAUUUUCAUUCGCUCUACUUUGGAUCUUAUUUUUUCUAAGGCAACAAUGCUUCCCUAGAAUUAUUUAAUUUAGAUAUCAUUUGUUCAAGAGAUUAACAUGUAUGAGAUAGCCACGACAAAAUGAAUACCGAGCCUUUCAUGAGUGCAGCAAUAUGAGUUGUUUUGUUUCCAGGAGCGGCACACAUGUCUAGAACGGUUUGAUCAGGUAGUGGAUUUAAAACAUGAGCGCAAACCAUAGAUGGCAGAUUCUGGAGUAGUACAGAACCCUUUGGAAAUACAGAAUCGCUCAGAUUUGGCACAUUUGAAAUAAUGUCCGUCAUAAAAACUCCGAUCCCAC